This is a non-coding RNA of Pelobates cultripes (western spadefoot toad), 1059 nucleotides long. The record is from the annotation of a GenBank genome assembly. Lineage: Eukaryota; Metazoa; Chordata; Amphibia; Anura; Pelobatidae.
CUUUUAAAGAGUUUGACCAUCUUGUGGUCCGUUACCCGAGAAACCACGGGGUCCAACGUGCGAGAAACCACAUGCCUUGUUUCACACACUACACUGCUGGUGAGUAUGCAACAAUGGAUUAACAAAUAGUAAUAAAAAUAUGAUAACUCAAUGGGUGUACGGUCACCGCUGAUUAACUGUUGUAAUUACAUUAUAUCCCUAGCUUUUCAAGACCUCUUAUUCAGUACAUUGGCAUCUUUAGAAGGGAGGUUUUAUAUUAGUGACAUUAUUCUUAAAGGAAAACCCUACAUACAUUGUACCUAAAAUCAUAAAUUUCUAAUAGAGUCUAUGAUUACUAGAAGCAUAGGUAUUCCAACUAUUUGUAGACUCCCUAUGAGCCAUAAUAUAUUAAUGACCUUAAUCCCUUCUCCUUUUUUUGAAAAUGAUGAGCCUCUUUAGCUCCCUUAGGUAUAAAUAUACCCCUUAGAGUAUAUAUACAAGUGUAUAUAUAAAUAUGAUCAGUAUCCCUUUAUUGGUCAAAAAUCUUAUUACAGCUAAUGAUCAUUUAAUACUUCAUGUUAAUAUGAUUCCCUUUAUCUAAAUGUGCAUCAUUGUUCUUUAUAAAAAAAAUUCUCAUCAGGGAAUCUUUCCUUUCCCAUAUAUAUGAAUUGUAGAGGAUUGUAUAUAUGUUUUUAUAUUCAGCUUUUUUUAUAUAUUUGUUCCUUACGUAAAAGGUUUAGUGCACAUACUGGGACUUAAGACAUCUGUCUAUGGAAUGUGAUCAUCCACAUGGAUAUUUACAUAAAGUGAACAGCACGCACGUCGGACAUAGCAACCUACGUGUGCGCCAUGACGCUAAACAGACGCGACCCUCUGAUGCGAGCGUCACAACGUCAUUUGGGUGCGACCUGCGCAUACAAGCGGGCGCGCCAUAUUACAUAUAAAUAUGGGACUUAUACUGCUUUAUUCUGACAGGGCCAUCGAAGGGAUUUAUUCAUAUCCCGAGCGCGCAGCCCACACAGGAGCCCCUGCACCAGCCAGCACGCACAGGAGAUCCAGCUGACAAGAUCCACAUCCUGA